GGGCGGGGGAGCGAGAGGCGCGGGGACUGGGUGUCAGACCUCGAGCCUCGACGGCCCUGAAGUCAUAGUGUUUGUACAAAGUGGUGGCACCAGACCAGGAGGAGCUGAGAGCGAGAUUCCGAGGUGGGGGGAAUGGGGCUGCGCUGUAAGUGACCGAGUGAGACUCCCGAUAUUUAAUUUAGCUUUUUUCAGAAGGAAAAGAAAAAACAAUAAUGAGCCUCGGAGAUGCUCCUUCUGCAUUAACCAGCUAUCGACCUGUCUGCGUCGGACUGCGGGCGGCGAGAAAGAGGACAGGGAAGGGCCAGGCGGCUCUUAGGGACUCAGUCACGCCGGCGGGUGGGGGGGGGGGGCGCCCACAGCCCAGGGGAUGAACCUCCAGACCGAGACGUGCACCCAAGAACCUCGCAUAUUAGAUCCCUCCAGGCUCCCCAGGCCUCGAGCAGAAGCGGCCUCCUGGCUACCCUACUUUCCAAUUGAGAACAGCCCUGGUCUGUCCGGGCCAUCUGCGCGCCACGUCGAGACUCAGCGUCCCAGGCAGCCGCGUCCCAACGUGGCGCUGGUCCCCCAACUCGACAGGUCCAGUGGAGCCCGGCUGUGGGCUGAACUCGAGGGUCCGAGGGCAGCUGAACCUUUUCCAGGGAUUUUUAAUCCAACAGAUUAAAUGGGUCAGAGUGACACACUCGCACAGGGAAGAAAAGCAGGUGCACAGAAGUAGAUUUGGGAAAGUCGCGCGCACGAACGCGCUUCACGCAGAAGCUUCUCCAUCAUCUUGCCUUCUUUCAACAUUCCCAGCGCACAAAGCGCUUUGGAGACUGACUGCAGGCCCUCUCAAUGCAGCCCAGGGAGCGGGGAGUGUUCGGAGAGGGUGUCUGUCCAUCGCACACGCUUGGCGCGCGUGCGCCGGAUGCGCACCGGGAACGGCUGCCCGACGUGUGCCCAGGGCCCGCGGCCCGCCAGGUUCUGGGGGCUGCGCCUCGCACUUCACAAGAGGGGAGUCACCAGGCCCGCUUCCUGCCCCCUCCUCGCCCAGCCUCACGGUGCUCACACGUCCCCGUCGAGGGGAGCCGCGGCAGCCCUCGGACUCCCAGCCCCGGCUCAUCUUCUAUCCUUCCCUCCCAGGCCCUAAGUCCCCGGGCUGCGGUGCGGGCCGGCGAUCUCUGAGCUUCCUGCAGGCGCUGCGGCGCGCGCUCCCACCGUUCCCUCCCCCUCGCGCUCGGGUUACAGCCGCGGACUCCUGAGAGCGUGGCCUGGCGUCCGCACAGGGUGGAAUUCGUAUUUGGCCAGGAAUCCGGACUCCGAUCAUCCCAGGAGACGCGGACCGGGGGCCUCCAGAGCUCUCCGGAGCGUGCUGCCGCUCCCCACCAGCCACCAGGGACUCGGAGGCCCUUCCUGGGUCCGGAGAAGCGACGGGGACACUUAGGGGAAAACUUUGCCAACUUCGCUCUUGGCGCGGAAGAGGCCGCUGGCCGGAAUGGUGCAGCAGCGGCGGCGGGCCGCGACGCGCAGGGUGGGCCCCGGGCCAGUGCUGGGCACCCUGGAGCGCGUCGGGAUGCCCAAAGUGGGGCGUGAGGCCGGUGGGCUCUUUGCUCCUCCGCUUCGCCCCUGCGCCUCCCGCGACCCGUCUCACUUCCCUGCGUCUCUGAGCGGCCCGAGAGGCGCAGCGCUCAGAGUGGCCUUGAUGGAAGAACCUGGCCCUCGGCGGGAACGAUUUUCUUUUGCUUUACCUCUUCUGGAUCAGCCGUUUUCCACCUGACUUGAGCAGCCCCCUCCCCCAUGCCUUUUUUUUCUCGUUCCCUCCGUCUGUCCUCACAAUUUCCUCUAUCUUCGAUUUCUAGAUCAUUCGCUUUUCUUCUCUUUCCUCCGCUUCCUCAUUGUGCUGUUUUUAUGCCUUUGCCCUGGACCACUUUUCAGUUCACUUUUCUCCCUUCUGCUCCCUCCCUCACCCCCUUCUUAAUGUCUCUUUUUUCCUCGCCCUGAGUCUGUGACUGUGUCCCUUUCCCCCAUCUGCAGUUGCCGUUUUUGAUUUUCUUUCUUUCCUCCCCACUUCCAUCCGGAUCCUCUCCUAUUUCCUCCUUGGAUUUCUGUCUCUCAGGUUCUGUCUCUCAGGUUCUCCUCUCCGUAAAUAUUCUCUCCUCUCCCUCUCCGGGAUCCGUCCCCUCCCCCACGUGGAUCUGCCUCCCCGGCGCCCCCUCCUCAUUCAUCCUGGGAGAUGAAUUUGUCGCCUUAUUGGACGCCGAGGCCAGAGCCGUGUGAGGGGGCUCGGCCAGCGCUGUGCAUUUUCUUCAUGCAUAUUGAGGAGAUGGUAAUGAGCGCGUUUGCAUUGUUGCUUGGAAAUGUUGUGUUUCCUGCCGCAGUUCGCAGUUCGGAGUGGGCGAGGGUGGUGUGGGCCCAGGACAGCCCCUCAGUAGGCACCCGGCCUGGCGGCCGCCGCUGACCCUCUCCGGAUUCCCGGGCUCUGGGGGCCGGGGGAGGAAGCGACCUUGCCGAGCUCCUGACCCGGCCGCCGCCUCCUCCUCCGGUUUGUCCACAAAGGCCGUCGCGCUCCCCUCAUUAAAGCCUCGUUACAGGAACCCCCGGCUGGCUCGCGACGGCUCCUCCGAGCCCCCCUGCCCACCGGCCUCUGAGCCCCUCCCCUGAUUUGAGAGGCCUGUGAUGGAGCGCCACCAGAAAAUUAGUGCCUGACAACGUCGUCUAUUGGCAAUAAAUUGAGAUUCCAAGUGACACGUCGCGGGAUCAAACACAGCCACAUUGUUGUGUACCCUGCUCCGCUCGCUCCUCGUUAAUCUUGGAGGGCGCCUUGGCAUCGCUUGGCCAGGGGAGGUUGUAGGCAGGCCUUUCGGCUGUCAGGACUCGGAUCCUGCCUCUGCCCUGGCUGAGCCCACUUCAGUCAUUCAGGAGGGACUGACUGCCCCUCCCUGAUAAGGUCCAAGGCGCUCAGGAGGCGUGACCCAGGAACGCCUUUCAAUAAGCUGAAGGUUUAUUAAAGUCAGGAGCUUCGAGGGGCAAACUCUGAGUUAAGCUUGUGGGGAAUCGACGUGAGCCUUGCUGGGAAUUCAGAACAUCAAGGUCUGGCCUUGUCUGGAAUUGUCUGGUGUCGAGUUUCCCAAACUUCAAGCUUCCCGCUACUACCUUUAUUAUUUACUUAACAUUUUUCCUUAAAUUGACUCAUUUUUAAAAUCAAAGUACAUAUUUUUGGAAAGAAAAUCUGAUACUACCACUGUAAAUUGAAAAGUAGCUGUUACUCACCAGAAAAGGAAGUGGUAAAAGAUAAACACAGCUAAAACCAAGCAAUGUUAAUACAUGUUAGCCGUUUUGCUGGCUUGGAAAGACUCCUAGAGGCUCAGCUGUGAUGCCACGAGAAUACUCAGAUAGCACACGGACAGGCCCACAUGGCAAUGAAUUGCAACUUGCCAGCAACCAUGUGGGUUAGCUUGAAGUGAAUUCUCUAGUCCUGUGUCUUCAGGUGACUGUAGCCCUGGCUGACCAUGUGACUGAACCUGAGGAGAAGCUGAGCCAAAGGCACACAGAUAAGCUGCACCUGGAUUCCUGACUACAGAAACUGUGAAGUAAUAAAUGUUUGCUGUUCAAAGCCAAGGGUUGGCAAAAUAUAUUCCACUUGUUUCUGUAAAUAAAGUUUUACUGGAACACGGUAAUGUUCACUAAUGUGCCUAUUGUUAUGGCUGCUUUCAUACUUCAACAGUAGUAGCUAUUGAGUAGUUGCAGCAAAAGACUAUAUGUCCACAGGACUAAAAUAUUUACUAUGUGGCCCUU
This 3771-nucleotide long non-coding RNA is filed under the name Homo sapiens (human). RNAcentral describes it as "HSALNT0231376". The record is from RNAcentral. Lineage: Eukaryota; Metazoa; Chordata; Mammalia; Primates; Hominidae.